UGGGGAAUAUUGCACAAUGGGCGAAAGCCUGAUGCAGCAACGCCGCGUGCGGGAUGACGGCCUUCGGGUUGUAAACCGCUUUCAGCAGGGACGAAGGUUUUCUGACGGUACCUGCAGAAGAAGCACCGGCUAACUACGUGCCAGCAGCCGCGGUGAUACGUAGGGUGCGAGCGUUGUCCGGAAUUAUUGGGCGUAAAGAGCUUGUAGGCGGUCCGUUGCGUCGGAAGUGAAAACUCAGGGCUUAACCCUGAGCCUGCUUUCGAUACGGGCGGACUUGAGGGAUGUAGGGAGAACGGAAUUCCUGGUGGAGCGGUGGAAUGCGCAGAUAUCAGGAGGAACACCAGUGGCGAAGGCGGUUCUCUGGACAUUUCCUGACGCUGAGAAGCGAAAGCGUGGGGAGCAAACAGGCUUGGAUACCCUGGUAGUCCACGCCGUAAACGGUGGGCACUAGGUGUGGGACCCAUUCCACGGGUUCCGUGCCGUAGCUAACGCAUUAAGUGCCCCGCCUGGGGAGUACGGCCGCAAGGCUAAAACUUAAAGGAAUUGACGGGGUCAUAGCUGUUU
RNAcentral lists this ribosomal RNA (564 nucleotides) under uncultured bacterium. RNAcentral's name for it is "partial 16S ribosomal RNA". It matches the Rfam family "Bacterial small subunit ribosomal RNA", at positions 355 to 935 of the family's 1533-position model. The record is from RNAcentral.